Molecule: long non-coding RNA, 829 nt
Organism: Homalodisca vitripennis (glassy-winged sharpshooter)
Lineage: Eukaryota; Metazoa; Arthropoda; Insecta; Hemiptera; Cicadellidae
Exons: 2
Source: RefSeq, a predicted model, not a curated record
UAAAAUUUUUUGGACCCUUAGUAACAUAAGCAAGUAAACAUUCUAGGUUAAAAAUAAACAGUCCAAAAUUUGAUUAUGUAUCAGUUGGUACCUACCAAGAUACUCCCUGAAUCCAUCAAAUCACUCUUGCUAUGUUUUACACCGAAUCCUUGCUUACUAGUUACUACUCUUUAACAGCUGAUUGCUCCCUAUCCCUACCGCUAGUUGCAUCACAAUGGAAAUGGACUAUGGAGUUGGCGCGUAUUUGGCGAGGCGACGGUGAAGUGGGUUAUGUUUGUUUACUUGAGAGUUGAUAAUGUUUCUGUUAGCCUAAUAAUAUUGAGAUUAGUGAUAAUUUGAAUAUAGAGUGAUAUUAUUUUAAAGUUAAAGGAUAUUUUUUAUUGUAACAGUGGUUUUACGUGAAAGUCAAGGCGUCAAUUAUUGACAUUGAGGUUAUCGAAUGGUGAGGGGCCUGGACAGUUUGUUUGCAGUUGUGGUCGGACAUACAAGUACAAACGGUCGCUGAGUCUGCAUCAGAAGACAGAUUGUGGAAUUGAACCUCAAUAUGCGUGUUUGUUCUGCACAUACAAGGCCAAACAGAAAGUUCACCUGCGCAGACACCUGGUAACCAAACAUGCGGAAGCUUGCUUAGUGCAGAAUUGACUUGCUGGGUCGUACUAUGUACCGUUAUUUGAAACUUUGUUUUGUGUUGUAUCAAAUAAAUUCAUAAUUUGUUUUUUAAGUUUUAAAAUAAAUAAAAUACUAUUAAUCUGUAUUUAUGUGUCAAGAGUAAGAUUUCCUUUGUUUUCUAUCUCACUAUCACAAAAUAAAACUUUUUUAGGCACAUGUA